AGGGAUGUAGCUCAGUGGAAGAGCACUUGCCUAGGAUACAUGAAGUCUUGGUUGGGUUCAAUCCCCAGCACCACCA
This 76-nucleotide transfer RNA is filed under the name Dipodomys ordii (Ord's kangaroo rat). It matches the Rfam family "tRNA". Rfam says of the family: Transfer RNA (tRNA) molecules are approximately 80 nucleotides in length. Their secondary structure includes four short double-helical elements and three loops (D, anti-codon, and T loops). Further hydrogen bonds mediate the characteristic L-shaped molecular structure. tRNAs have two regions of fundamental functional importance: the anti-codon, which is responsible for specific mRNA codon recognition, and the 3' end, to which the tRNAs corresponding amino acid is attached (by aminoacyl-tRNA synthetases). tRNAs cope with the degeneracy of the genetic code in two manners: having more than one tRNA (with a specific anti-codon) for a particular amino acid; and 'wobble' base-pairing, i.e. permitting non-standard base-pairing at the 3rd anti-codon position. Lineage: Eukaryota; Metazoa; Chordata; Mammalia; Rodentia; Heteromyidae. The record is from Rfam by way of RNAcentral.